RNAcentral lists this small nuclear RNA (106 nucleotides) under Propithecus coquereli (Coquerel's sifaka). The record is from RNAcentral. Lineage: Eukaryota; Metazoa; Chordata; Mammalia; Primates; Indriidae.
GUUCUCGCUUCGGCAGCACGCACACUAAAACUGCAACGAUGCAGAGAAGAUUAGCACGGCCCCGCACAAGGAUGACGUGCAAAUUUGUGAGGUGUUCCAUAUUUUU